GGGAAUAUUGGACAAUGGGCGCAAGCCUGAUCCAGCGACGCCGCGUGAGUGAAGAAGGCCUUCGGGUUGUAAAGCUCUUUUAGUGGGGAAGAUAAUGACGGUACCCACAGAAGAAGCCCCGGCUAACUUCGUGUCAGCAGCCGCGGUAAUACGAAGGGGGCUAGCGUUACUCGGCAUUAUUGGGCGUAAAGCGUGCGUAGGCUGCUUAGUAAGUCAAAAGUGAAAGCCUUGGGCUCAACCUAAGAAUUGCUUUUGAGACUACCAAGCUUGAGUACUGUAGGGGAUAGCGGAAUUCCUAGUGUAGGGGUGAAAUUCGUAGAUAUUAGGAGGAACACCGGAGGCGAAAGCGGUUAUCUGGACAGUUACUGACGCUGUUGCACGAAAUCGUGGGGAGCAAACA
RNAcentral lists this ribosomal RNA (400 nucleotides) under uncultured bacterium. Its description in RNAcentral is "bacterial SSU rRNA". It matches the Rfam family "Bacterial small subunit ribosomal RNA", at positions 357 to 774 of the family's 1533-position model. The record is from RNAcentral.